GUGAGUAGUUCAGAGUUUGAUCCUGGCUCAGGACGAACGCUGGCGGCGUGCCUAACACAUGCAAGUCGAGCGAAGAAUUGGGAGCUUGCUUCUGAUUCUUAGCGGCGGACGGGUGAGUAACGCGUGAGCAACCUGCCUCGAACUGGGGGAUAACGCAUCGAAAGAUGUGCUAAUACCGCGUAAGACCACAGUACCACAUGGUACAGGGGUCAAAGGAGCAAUCCGGUUUGAGAUGGGCUCGCGUCCGAUUAGCUAGUUGGCGGGAUAACAGCCCACCAAGGCGACGAUCGGUAGCCGACCUGAGAGGGUGAUCGGCCACAUUGGAACUGAGACACGGUCCAG
Molecule: ribosomal RNA, 342 nt
Filed under: uncultured bacterium
Lineage: Bacteria
Description: bacterial SSU rRNA
Rfam family: Bacterial small subunit ribosomal RNA
Source: RNAcentral